Molecule: ribosomal RNA, 318 nt
Filed under: Triticum aestivum (bread wheat)
Lineage: Eukaryota; Viridiplantae; Streptophyta; Magnoliopsida; Poales; Poaceae
Description: partial small subunit ribosomal RNA
Source: RNAcentral
AUGGCCGAUGUAAGUGCUGACUGUUUGGAUGAGUACGUAAACAUUGUCAGCAGGAUGUUUCAUAGCGAGGAUGAAGGUUUUGAGUUCUACAACAAGUAUGCUCUUGAGAAAGGCUGUAGUGUGAGAAAAGGCUAUGUUGAGUGGGAUGAAGCGAACGAGAAGAUAAUUCUGAGGAAACUUGUCUGUAGUCGUGAAGGUUGCCGUGAAGAGAAGCACAUGAAGAGGAAGAGAGAAGAUAGGAAGAGGAAGCCACGGAAUAUCACUCGUGUGGGAAAUUUGUCAUUGCAAGAGUCGCCAAAACAGGGCGGUGGUUUGUGA